AGGAGGCGGCGGGUAGCUGGCAGGCGCCGACUUCCGAAGGCCGCCGUCCGGGCGAGGUGUCCUCAUGACUUCUCUUGUGGACCAUGUCCGUGAUCUUUUUUGCCUGCGUGGUACGGGUAAGGGAUGGACUGCCCCUCUCAGCCUCUACUGAUUUUUACCACACCCAAGAUUUUUUGGAAUGGAGGAGACGGCUCAAGAGUUUAGCCUUGCGACUGGCCCAGUAUCCAGGUCGAGGUUCUGCAGAAGGUUGUGACUUUAGUAUACAAUGUGGAGAAGUCUGAGGCUAAUUCCCCCAAUAGAAUAUGCAUCCCUCAUGCAUGAAUAAAUAAGAGUGAUCACAGGCUGUCAUUGAUUAAGACUACUAGACAUUUUAAAGGAAGCGGAAGAAAGACAGUCUCAGGAAUAGGUCGAACUGAAGAGACAAUAUACCUGCAGCAAACAGCUACAGGACUGUUUAAAGCCAAGCAAGUGCAGAAUUCAGUUUUUCUUCUUUCGGGGACGUGGCCUGCAUGGCUAUCUGCUCCUGCCAGUGUCCAGCAGCCAUGGCCUUCUGCUUCCUGGAGACCCUGUGGUGGGAAUUCACAGCUUCCUAUGACACUACCUGCAUUGGCCUAGCCUCCAGGCCAUACGCUUUUCUUGAGUUUGACAGCAUCAUUCAGAAAGUGAAGUGGCAUUUUAACUAUGUAAGUUCCUCUCAGAUGGAGUGCAGCUUGGAAAAAAUUCAGGAGGAGCUCAAGUUGCAGCCUCCAGCGGUUCUCACUCUGGAGGACACAGAUGUGGCAAAUGGGGUGAUGAAUGGUCACACACCGAUGCACUUGGAGCCUGGU
Molecule: long non-coding RNA, 827 nt
Filed under: Homo sapiens (human)
Lineage: Eukaryota; Metazoa; Chordata; Mammalia; Primates; Hominidae
Description: non-protein coding lnc-CCDC13-5:2
Source: RNAcentral